GAGUCCGCGUUUCAUUAGCUANCNUUNUAGGGUAACGGCCUACCAAGGCAACGAUGGGUAGCCGAUUUGAGAGGAUGAUCGGCCACACUGGAACUGAAACACGGUCCAGACUCCUACGGGAGGCAGCAGUGGGGAAUAUUGCGCAAUGGGCGAAAGCCUGACNCANCGACCCCNCNUGAGGGAUGAAGGUUUUCCGAUCNUAAACCUCUGUCANAAAGGAANAAACCNCNCCNUGCUAAUCAGCGGUGCAUUGACGGUACCUUUCAAAGGAAGCACCCGGCUAACUUCGUGCCAGCAGCCGCGGUAAUACGGAGGGUGCAAGCGUUAAUCGGAAUUACUGGGCGUAAAGCGCACGUAGGCUGCUUUGUAAGUCAGGGGUGAAAUCCCACGGCUCAACCGUGGAACUGCCUUUGAUACUGCUUAGCUUGAAUCCGGGAGAGGGUGGCGGAAUUCCAGGUGUAGGAGUGAAAUCCGUAGAUAUCUGGAGGAACAUCAGUGGC
This 500-nucleotide ribosomal RNA is filed under the name uncultured sulfate-reducing bacterium. RNAcentral describes it as "partial 16S ribosomal RNA". It matches the Rfam family "Bacterial small subunit ribosomal RNA", at positions 227 to 716 of the family's 1533-position model. The record is from RNAcentral.